This 496-nucleotide ribosomal RNA is filed under the name uncultured bacterium. RNAcentral describes it as "partial 16S ribosomal RNA". It matches the Rfam family "Bacterial small subunit ribosomal RNA", at positions 29 to 507 of the family's 1533-position model. The record is from RNAcentral.
AUGAACGCUGGCGGCGUGCCUAAUACAUGCAAGUCGAGCGAACAGACGAGGAGCUUGCUCCUCUGACGUUAGCGGCGGACGGGUGAGUAACACGUGGAUAACCUACCUAUAAGACUGGGAUAACUUCGGGAAACCGGAGCUAAUACCGGAUAAUAUAUUGAACCGCAUGGUUCAAUAGUGAAAGACGGUUUUGCUGUCACUUAUAGAUGGAUCCGCGCCGCAUUAGCUAGUUGGUAAGGUAACGGCUUACCAAGGCGACGAUGCGUAGCCGACCUGAGAGGGUGAUCGGCCACACUGGAACUGAGACACGGUCCAGACUCCUACGGGAGGCAGCAGUAGGGAAUCUUCCGCAAUGGGCGAAAGCUUGACGGAGCAACGCCGCGUGAGUGAUGAAGGUCUUCGGAUCGUAAAACUCUGUUAUUAGGGAAGAACAAAUGUGUAAGUAAUUAUGCACGUCUUGACGGUACCUAAUCAGAAAGCCACGGCUAACUACGUG